This is a long non-coding RNA of Phyllopteryx taeniolatus (common seadragon), 3777 nucleotides long. RefSeq lists it as uncharacterized. NCBI's taxonomy places the organism in Eukaryota, Metazoa, Chordata, Actinopteri, Syngnathiformes, Syngnathidae. The transcript has 4 exons. The record is from RefSeq and is a predicted model, not a curated record.
GGUUAGCCGCGCCGGGCUACUUUCCCCCCUGUCAAAAUACCAAAUCCUCUCCAAACUACUUGAAUGAAUAAGUUAUUUAAUUAUUGAAAUUGUUAUCCAUUUGUAAAGCUUAGCUCCUCAUGUACGCGUCAUCUGCUGUCAUAACGUCGUUUGCUGCGAGCCAUGUACCAGCGUCAACUCGAGGCUCCAGUCUGGACUGUUCCUCCAAGGCUUCCUGCCUCUUCUCAACCAUGCUGACUGCCUUCAGCUCCAGAAUGUCGGCCUGCUUCAUUUUCUGGCUCAGCACCUCUGUCACACGCUCCACGUACCUGCACACAAGUGUUUAUUGUUUUGUUUGAGUUUAUUUGUCUGGGACCAUGAACAGACAAUAUGCUUGUUCUUUGUCUGCCAAAAUAUUUAUCUUACCAGGCAGAGUUUGUCAAAGAACAUUUCACUUGCUUCAAGCAUUCGCUUCCUCACAAAUCUUAAUAAGUUUUUUUUUGUGCAGGGACAGCGUACCGCGGCGAGGCCAGGAUCAUGAAGAGGUGCUGCAUCCGGAGCGACGUGAGUCGGCCCAGCAGGUCCUGCACCUCCGACAGCAUGCCGCGGACAUGCUCGCUGCUCUGGAUGAGGAUGAUACGCGGCGCCGACUGGAACUGACUCAUGGCCACCACGUCGCUCUCUUGGCCCAUCUCGGUGAGGCGCUGGCUCAAGAACGCUUCCAGCUGCGCGGGGGGCAGGAACAGGAUGCAUUUAUAAGAGAAGUGUCUCCUCCACGUGCGGCCUCUCCGUCACCCUGGGAACCUUCCCGGUCCUCCACUCGUAGAAUGUGGGGUUUCCUCUCUUCUGCACGAAUGUCAACAUAGGAAGAACCGGCUCCGACCUGCCGACAGAUACUCGUCAGCUAAACAACGGGAUAGGAGCAUACAGUGGACAGAAUCGGAUCGGAACCUGCGGAUUCACUUAUUCGUGGAUAUGUUUCAAAUUUGGUUUUCAAAAAUUUUGUUUUUUCAAAUAUGUUUUUUUUGAGGGGGGCAACAACAACAAAAACGCUUAUUGGCAGUAUAUCUAUAUAUACCUGUAGUAUAGUAGCAGUAUACUGUAUACAGUUAUUUUUCCUCAAUGCAGUUAUAAUGGAUGUCAAUUAUUCACGGAUUUUCACUAUUCGCAGUCGGGCCUGGUCCCUAUCCCCCACGAAUAGCGGAGAUCCUUAUUGAUUUUUUUUAUGUUUAUAUACUCACCACUCGCAUACGAAGUUGGUGAAAGCGGUGUAAAGUUGGAUUUUCUCUUCAAGCCUGGCGGCAUCCGUCCCCACUUUGUCAAGAACAUCUGGUAGCUCUUUGACCAGAGCCUGCAGCUCACGAGGAACAUUGUCUCCCUGGAAGAAGCGCAGCAUGGUGACUACAGUGCAUCCGUGCAUACUUUCUGUGAUGUUUUUGCAAGGUGGGGUGCUGUGAAAUUUUUGUAAUGUAAAUUAUGUGGUUUGGCUUGAAGGUUAGAAAACUCUUGACAUAGAACAGUGUAUGUUCUUGGAUUCAUCUUACUACUCCUCCGACGUGACCUCACCUUGAUGCCGUACUGCUUGCAGGCGGCGUAGUAGUGCUCCUGCAGGUUGCCGGCCGAGCUGUGGCACUCCAUCUCUCGCCGGCUCAUCUCCUGCUGCAGCUGCUUGGCUUUGGCCAGCUGCUUCCUCAGAGCCGGACCCUCGUAGCUGACGUUGCGACUCAGCAGGCUGGCCACCUCGGCUGUAACAUACCCCCCGAAAAAAACAAAAAACAAACACUGGCUACUGUGCUGCUCCUUUUCCGAUGUUCUCAAGCGAUCUUUAAUUGAUUUUGCGCUCACCCAAAUAGAUGUUAUCUCCUUGGUACAGGUUCACAAUCUCUUGCCAGUCCUGCAAGCACACAAACACACAAUCACAAAACUUUUGAAGUGACUUGACAAUGAACAAGAAGGCCGCAGCAGCAAUUUAGAUUGGAUUGGAUCUUCUCACCUUCAUCCUCUGUGAAGAAUAUUUGCCAAAGAUGUUCUUGGACGACUCUUCAGUCCCCUUCAGGAUUUCCACGAUUCUCAAGCAGUGGAAGUAGUGAAUGUCUACAUGGAACAGGGUAAAAAAAUCUGUUAUAAAUGUGUAGUUGUAUUAUACGUAGUUGUUGCAUUCAAAUUAUAUAAUCUGUGUAACUUUAAAUAGUGACUAUCGAACAUUAAUUCCAGUGUGUACCACUGCACCACUAAAUAAUGUGACACUGCCCACCAGUGGUGGAAACAACAACAUACAAAUACAGACUCCUUGACGCAGGUCGGACUGCAGCAAUCUAUUAUUUUUAGAAUCAAUAUGCUACCGAUUAUCGCAUUGAUUCAAAAUUAAUUUUGCAUUACUAAACAACAAAAUAUGGAUGUGAGGUACGGGUAUUAUUUUUGUCCACUUGGGGUCGUCAUCUUCAAGUUCUACACUGUAGUAUCUGUGAUUAAGUGUGUGUAGAUUUAAAAGGUGGGCCUUGGCUUGGUGAAUGAUAACAGAUGGAUACCUACAGGAGCCUGAGAGGAGCUGCUUGAUCUCAUUGUUCUCCGGCAUGUCCUGCAUGGCGCCGUUGAUUUUCUCUCGGAUCCCUUUGACAGCAUUCUGCCAUUUGAGAUUGCAGUGACGACGAUCUAUCAGCCAGUCUGCGCACACACACACACACACACACGUACGCACGCGCACACACACACACACACACACACACACACGUGAGAACAUGUUGACUCCAUGUCAGGCGAACCAUUGUGCCGCAGUGUGUUUCGAUUUAAGUGAUUUUUUUUUUAACUAAAGAUUUUGCACAAUUUCACAUAGUUUUAAGACUAAAUGAAAAAGCUUUAUAUAUUUAUUUUAUUUUUUAUUUUUGUCAUCUGUUUAGUAAUAUUAUUUAAGUAUACCUUUGACAUUUUAUUGUUUAUUUUAUCUAAUACUCUGCUUUUGUACAUGUAGUUUUUGUUGUUGUUGCUCAACAAGUUAUUUUUGCAUUUUGCUGUUGUAGUUUUGCGGCACGGUGAACGACUGGUUAGAGUGUCUGCCUCACAGUUCUGAGGACUGGGGUUCAAAUCCCGGCCCCGCCUGUGUGGAGUUUGCAUGUUCUUCCCGUGCCUGUGUGGGUUUUCUCCGGGUACUCCGGUUUCCUCCCACAUCCCAAAAACAUGCAGGGUAUUGAAGACUCUAAAUUGUCCGUAGGUGUGAAUGUGAGUGUGAAUGGUUGUUUGUUUGUAUGUGCCCUGCGAUUGGCUGGCGACCAGUUCAGGGUGUACCCCGCCUCUCGCCCAAAGUUAGCUGGGAUAGGCUCCAGCACGCCCGCGACCCUAGUGAGGAGAAGCGGAAUGGAAGAUGAAUGAAUGUUGUAGUUCUUUUUUUAAAACCAACUGUGCACUGGUAUGUUUUUGUUACUUUUAGUAAGUUCGAUCAAUGAUUCCAAUCAUUGUCAACCACAUCAGUGUUGUGAGAGAAUAUCAGGUGUGAGAAUGGGAAAUGAUCCAACUCCAGUAAAUUUAUUUCCUACAAAUUAUGUAUCUUAGUUCAUCUAUGUCAGCAACAUAUAGUGACAGGCAGACCAAUGAAAUGCUCUUCUAUUAGAUGUCAGAAGACACAAUUAACCUGUGUAUCCAUUAUUAUUUAAUUUAAGUACACAGUAAUACAUUUUUUGUGACAUUUUUGUUUGGUGGUGUACAAUUACUUUUUUUCCCCAAUAUGUGCCUUGGCUCGAUAAAGUUUGGAUGUAAUGCGUUAUGACAUUAAACGCAUCCCACUGUGGAGGGACUUCCAAUAUU